This 420-nucleotide ribosomal RNA is filed under the name bacterium. Its description in RNAcentral is "partial 16S ribosomal RNA". It matches the Rfam family "Bacterial small subunit ribosomal RNA", at positions 355 to 776 of the family's 1533-position model. The record is from RNAcentral.
UGGGGGAUAUUGCACAAUGGGCGCAAGCCUGAUGCAGCGACGCCGCGUGGGGGAUGAAGGCCUUCGGGUUGUAAACUUCUUUUGCUCUGAACAAGGCGCACUUUGGGGUGUGUUGAGUGUAGGGGUUGAUUAGCGCCGGCUAACUACGUGCCAGCAGCCGCGGUAAUACGUAGGGCGCGAGCGUUGUCCGGAAUUAUUGGGCGUAAAGGGCUUGUAGGUGGCUGGUUGCGUCUGUCGUGAAAGCUCAUGGCUUAACUGUGGGUUUGCGGUGGGUACGGGCUGGCUUGAGUGCAGUAGGGGAGGCUGGAAAUUCCUGGUGUAGCGGUGGAAUGCGCAGAUAUCAGGAGGAAUACCGGUGGCGAAGGCGGGUCUCUGGGCUGUUACUGACACUGAGGAGCGAAAGCAUGGGGAGCGAACAGG